Non-coding RNA from Pantherophis guttatus, 396 nucleotides. NCBI's taxonomy places the organism in Eukaryota, Metazoa, Chordata, Lepidosauria, Squamata, Colubridae. The record is from the annotation of a RefSeq genome assembly.
UCUUUUAUUGUCGAUUCGUUAGAGGGAGCAAAAAUGACUCUGUGGCUAAAGCUGAUCUUCUUACUAGGAAUCCUUGGAGGUGUCCAGUCACAAGCCCAGUUUGUGGAGUCUGGAGGAGAUGUGAGAAGGCCUGGAGAGUCCAUCCGUCUCUCCUGCCAAGCCUCUGGAUUCACCUUCGGUGGCUACUGGUUGCACUGGGUGAGACAGGCCGCAGGGAAAGGACUGGAAUGGGUGUUAUCGAUAAAUCCAACUUCAAGUAGCAUUUUCUACUCAGACAAAGUGAAGGGACGCUUCACCAUCUCCAGAGAUGAUGCCAAAAGCCAGCUGUAUCUGCAAAUGAACAGCCUCAAACCAGAGGACACGGCUGUCUAUUACUGUGCAAGAGGAACACAGUGA